This 315-nucleotide ribosomal RNA is filed under the name uncultured fungus. RNAcentral's name for it is "SSU rRNA". It matches the Rfam family "Eukaryotic small subunit ribosomal RNA", at positions 1344 to 1680 of the family's 1831-position model. The record is from RNAcentral. Lineage: Eukaryota; Fungi.
UAACCUGCUAAAUAGUUAGGCCAACGUUUGUUGGUCGUCAACUUCUUAGAGGGACUAUUGACUAUUAGUCAAUGGAAGUUUGAGGCAAUAACAGGUCUGUGAUGCCCUUAGAUGUUCUGGGCCGCACGCGCGCUACACUGAUCAAGUCAGCGAGUCUACAACCUUGGCCGGAAGGUCUGGGUAAUCUUUUGAAACUUGAUCGUGCUGGGGAUAGUCCAUUGCAAUUAUUGGACUUCAACGAGGAAUUCCUAGUAAGCGUGAGUCAUCAGCUCGCGUUGAUUACGUCCCUGCCCUUUGUACACACCGCCCGUCGCU